ACGCCGCGUGAGGGAUGACGGCCUUCGGGUUGUAAACCUCUUUCAGUACCGACGAAGCGCAAGUGACGGUAGGUACAGAAGAAGGACCGGCCAACUACGUGCCAGCAGCCGCGGUAAUACGUAGGGUCCGAGCGUUGUCCGGAAUUAUUGGGCGUAAAGGGCUCGUAGGCGGUUUGUCGCGUCGGGAGUGAAAACCUACAGCUCAACUGUGGGCUUGCUUCCGAUACGGGCAGACUAGAGGUAUGCAGGGGAGAAUGGAAUUCCUGGUGUAGCGGUGAAAUGCGCAGAUAUCAGGAGGAACACCGGUGGCGAAGGCGGUUCUCUGGGCAUUACCUGACGCUGAGGAGCGAAAGUGUGGGGAGCGAACAGGAUUAGAUACCCUGGUAGUCCACACCGUAAACGUUGGGCGCUAGGUGUGGGACCUAUUCCAUGGGUUCCGUGCCGUAGCUAACGCAUUAAGCGCCCCGCCUGGGGAGUACGGCCGCAAGGCUAAAACUCAAAGG
This 503-nucleotide ribosomal RNA is filed under the name Nocardioides sp. Its description in RNAcentral is "Bacterial small subunit ribosomal RNA". It matches the Rfam family "Bacterial small subunit ribosomal RNA", at positions 394 to 907 of the family's 1533-position model. The record is from Rfam by way of RNAcentral. Lineage: Bacteria; Bacillati; Actinomycetota; Actinomycetes; Propionibacteriales; Nocardioidaceae.